GGCGCAAAAUGCAGGCAAUGCCCAGCCUUAACGCCUGAAACCCUAGGCCAAAGGGCAAAGGCCCACUAACUGUAUGAAGCGCCUUCCACAUAAAAAUCACGUAUAUUUUAGGGAUAUCACUACAGAAACUUUGUUCCAAAAAUCACUUGGUAGAUAUCAUUAUCAUCAAUAUCAUCAUUCAUCAUACUAGGCCCACGUUUUUUUUUGCGCCUCUCGCCUUGGCCCCAUUUGGGGUCAUUGCGCUUUGAGUUCUCUUUCGCCUUUGACAACUAUGGGUAGUUCAAAUCAUCUUUUGAUUUUAAAAAAGGGCAAAAUGCUUUAUAAGAUAGUAUAGAUAUAGAUAUUGCAUAUUUUAGUUUGUAAUUUCUUAUUAGUGAUGCACGGAUUCUCUAAACAUCAGUUGUAUGGUGCUUAGAGAAUCAGACAAUACGUAAGCGAAAUCCAAAUUUGUGUCAAAUUCGUGUGUGUUUUCGUGAUUUUCCUUUGUAGAUCGAUGUGAACCCCUUGAUCCCAUAUUGAUACUUGCGAGACCCCCAUGCUGAGUUUUUUGUAUUGAUGGAUGGAACACAAGGCGGAUGUUAACAAUGAGAGCGACCAACACCAACCUUCAUCAGCAAAAUCAGAUUUUCUUCAAUGGAGCAAAUGGCAAUUACUUGAUUCCAUUCUUCCAACAGGUGGCUUCGCUCAUUCCUUUGGUCUCGAGGCAGCAAUGCAGUCCCGUAUUGUCUCUCACCCGGAAGACCUUCAAACAUAUGUAAUCCAUGUCUUGGAGAAUACAGGAAGCCUACUCCUUCCAUUCGUUUUCUCAGCCACCACAUCACCCGAUCUUCAAACAUGGCAACACCUUGACAUGAUUUUGGAUGCAACACUAACAAAUGAAAUAAGCCGUAAGGCAUCAGUGUCACAAGGAUCGGCACUCAUGAGGGUGUCCUCUUCGGUUUUUUCAGAGAUUCCAUCUUUGAAGAUAAUGAGAAGUUCUUCUUUAAGCAACGGGAAUGUGUGCUUUCACCAUGCUCCUAUCUUUGGGAUUGUUUGUGGACUUCUUGGGUUGGAUACCGACACGUCGCAGAGGGCUUAUAUGUUUAUAACCGUGCGAGAUAUUUUAUCUGCUGCAACCAGACUCAACCUGGUGGGACCCCUUGGUGCUGCUGUAUUGCAACACCAGAUUUCGUUUGUUGCUGAGGAGCUCUUAAAGAAAUGGAAGAACCGAUCAAUAGAUGAAGCAUGCCAAACAAAUCCUCUGCUUGAUACAGUACAGGGUUGUCAUAGCUACUUAUUUUCAAGACUUUUUUGCUCAUGAAUACAAAUGCAGCACUCAUUCACUUGUUCGUUAUUCAGUUAUUUGAUGGCAGUUCUCUUAAUGGCAAAAUGAAUGAUAGAGAAAAUUGUGCCCGCACUUUUGAAAUAUCACUCAUGAGGAUGACCUGUUGUUGGGAAACACCCCAAUGGAGGUACACUGAAGACUCCAAUUCUUUUUGCACCGAGUUUGUAUAUAUCCUAAUUUAAUCAUGCCAAUACCCAAUUAUAUGUCACAAAAUUAUCUUGCUCCAAGCAUGUAUACGUCCUUUAAUGUGUUUUUUUUUUUUCAAAUAUCAGAUUUUAUUGUGUUCAUAUGUAUGGACAAUUUGUUACGUGUUUGUAAGUCUGAAAAAAAAAGAUAAUUUUUUUA
Molecule: RNA transcript, 1669 nt
Organism: Erigeron canadensis
Lineage: Eukaryota; Viridiplantae; Streptophyta; Magnoliopsida; Asterales; Asteraceae
Gene name: urease accessory protein F
Exons: 4
Source: RefSeq, a predicted model, not a curated record